This 253-nucleotide ribosomal RNA is filed under the name uncultured bacterium. RNAcentral describes it as "partial 16S ribosomal RNA". It matches the Rfam family "Bacterial small subunit ribosomal RNA", at positions 524 to 776 of the family's 1533-position model. The record is from RNAcentral.
UACGUAGGUGGCGAGCGUUGUCCGGAUUUACUGGGCGUAAAGAGCGCGCAGGCGGCUGGUCAAGUCCGAUGUGAAAGCCCCCGGCUCAACUGGGGAGGGUCACUCGAUACUGAUCGACUUGAAGGCAGGAGAGGGAAGCGGAAUUCCCGGUGUAGUGGUGAAAUGCGUAGAUAUCGGGAGGAACACCAGUGGCGAAGGCGGCUUCCUGGCCUGUUCUUGACGCUGAGGCGCGAAAGCUAGGGGAGCAAACGGG